UUAAGUUAUUAAGGGCGCACGGUGGAUGCCUUGGCACUAGAAGCCGAUGAAGGACGUUACUAACGACGAUAUGCUUUGGGGAGCUGUAAGUAAGCUUUGAUCCAGAGAUUUCCGAAUGGGGAAACCCAGCAUGAGUUAUGUCAUGUUAUCGAUAUGUGAAUACAUAGCAUAUCAGAAGGCACACCCGGAGAACUGAAACAUCUUAGUACCCGGAGGAAGAGAAAGAAAAUUCGAUUCCCUUAGUAGCGGCGAGCGAAACGGGAAGAGCCCAAACCAACAAGCUUGCUUGUUGGGGUUGUAGGACACUCUAUACGGAGUUACAAAGGACGACAUUAGACGAAUCAUCUGGAAAGAUGAAUCAAAGAAGGUAAUAAUCCUGUAGUCGAAAAUGUUGUCUCUCUUGAGUGGAUCCUGAGUACGACGGAGCACGUGAAAUUCCGUCGGAAUCUGGGAGGACCAUCUCCUAAGGCUAAAUACUCUCUAGUGACCGAUAGUGAACCAGUACCGUGAGGGAAAGGUGAAAAGCACCCCGGAAGGGGAGUGAAAUAGAACCUGAAACCGUGUGCUUACAAGUAGUCAGAGCCCGUUAAUGGGUGAUGGCGUGCCUUUUGUAGAAUGAACCGGCGAGUUACGAUUUGAUGCAAGGUUAAGCAGUAAAUGUGGAGCCGUAGCGAAAGCGAGUCUGAAUAGGGCGUUUAGUAUUUGGUCGUAGACCCGAAACCAGGUGAUCUACCCUUGGUCAGGUUGAAGUUCAGGUAACACUGAAUGGAGGACCGAACCGACUUACGUUGAAAAGUGAGCGGAUGAACUGAGGGUAGCGGAGAAAUUCCAAUCGAACCUGGAGAUAGCUGGUUCUCUCCGAAAUAGCUUUAGGGCUAGCCUCAAGUGAUGAUUAUUGGAGGUAGAGCACUGUUUGGACGAGGGGCCCCUCUCGGGUUACCGAAUUCAGACAAACUCCGAAUGCCAAUUAAUUUAACUUGGGAGUCAGAACAUGGGUGAUAAGGUCCGUGUUCGAAAGGGAAACAGCCCAGACCACCAGCUAAGGUCCCAAAAUAUAUGUUAAGUGGAAAAGGAUGUGGCGUUGCCCAGACAACUAGGAUGUUGGCUUAGAAGCAGCCAUCAUUUAAAGAGUGCGUAAUAGCUCACUAGUCGAGUGACACUGCGCCGAAAAUGUACCGGGGCUAAACAUAUUACCGAAGCUGUGGAUUGUCCUUUGGACAAUGGUAGGAGAGCGUUCUAAGGGCGUUGAAGCAUGAUCGUAAGGACAUGUGGAGCGCUUAGAAGUGAGAAUGCCGGUGUGAGUAGCGAAAGACGGGUGAGAAUCCCGUCCACCGAUUGACUAAGGUUUCCAGAGGAAGGCUCGUCCGCUCUGGGUUAGUCGGGUCCUAAGCUGAGGCCGACAGGCGUAGGCGAUGGAUAACAGGUUGAUAUUCCUGUACCACCUAUAAUCGUUUUAAUCGAUGGGGGGACGCAGUAGGAUAGGCGAAGCGUGCGAUUGGAUUGCACGUCUAAGCAGUAAGGCUGAGUAUUAGGCAAAUCCGGUACUCGU
Molecule: ribosomal RNA, 1549 nt
Filed under: Staphylococcus aureus
Lineage: Bacteria; Bacillati; Bacillota; Bacilli; Caryophanales; Staphylococcaceae
Description: bacterial LSU rRNA
Rfam family: Bacterial large subunit ribosomal RNA
Source: RNAcentral